This is a non-coding RNA of Salvelinus sp. IW2-2015, 895 nucleotides long. NCBI's taxonomy places the organism in Eukaryota, Metazoa, Chordata, Actinopteri, Salmoniformes, Salmonidae. The record is from RefSeq and is a predicted model, not a curated record.
AGAGCCAUCGCACUGACCGUCCUGCCACACAAACACUGCAGGCCGAGACAGCCAAUCAGAAUGCAGAACUGGAGGCGCUGCGUGCCCAGCUGGUGCGUCUGCAGGCAGAGAAGAGUGACUGGUGGCCAUAAACUCUGAACUCCAGCUCAAGACAGGUCAGGGGUCAGAGGACGACUCCUUCAUAGAGAUCAGGAUUGCUAGAGAGGAUACUGGAAAGGCCUGUAUCAUAAUGAAAGGGACCCCAGGUAUGACAUGAGUGUAUCAGGCAGGAGUCUGAGGAGCUGACUCUCAGCCAGCUGCUCCAGUCCCUGAGGAAGGAGACCCAGAGGGUGGAAUGGCUACAAAUCGAGCUCCAGGCUACCAAAUCCAGAAUCACAGAGCUGGAGGAGAAAGAAACUAACACGGAGAGCUCCACACAGACCUCACUACUGCCAGGGUGGUUUCCCCAGCUAGCCACCACAGCAUGUGGUACUGAGCCAGAACAGAACUCUGAGAAGGUAGAUGCACAGAUAGGCUGGGUAAGAGCUUGUCUCACCCUGUAAGAACAGGGAAGUUAAUGAGAUUGAAAUGUAUUAAUGUACAAUAUGUAAUGGGAAUUAAAGAAGUUACAGAUAAAGUAAAUCAAUGGUUUAAUACAGUUGCAACAGGGAGACACCUCCAGCAGAGAAGCAGGCUCUUAUAUUCUAAUUUCACAGCACCAAUGCUCUGUAAACACCUGCCGAGAGGCUUGUAGGAAGUCACAACAUCAGCUGCUACAGAAUCAGUGUCCCAGAAUACAAUAACAAUCAGUGUCCUCGGUCCUCGUACCUCCAGUCUGGCGUCAAUCACUAUCAGAUAUGCACAUCCAUAACUUUCAGCAUCAAGUUUAGUGACCAUCAACCAGAAAGUUUCCCAA